CCAAUAGCGUAUAUUAAAGUUGUUGCAGUUAAAAAGCUCGUAGUUGAAUUUCGAGACCGGCUUACUGGUCGUGCUUUUGUACGUACUGGUAUAAUCGGUUUCUCCUUUCUGACGAACUAUAAUGCCAUUAAUUUGGUGUUAUAGGGAAUCAGGACUGUUACUUUGAAAAAAUUAGAGUGUUUAAAGCAGGCUCACGCUUGAAUACAUUAGCAUGGAAUAACGGAAUAGGACGUUUGAUUCUAUUUUGUUGGUUUCUAGGAUCGACGUAAUGAUUAAUAGGGAUAGUUGGGGGCAUUAGUAUUCAAUUGUCAGAGGUGAAAUUCUUGGAUUUAUUGAAGACUAACUACUGCGAAAGCAUUUGCCAAGGAUGUUUUCAUUAAUCAAGAACGAAAGUUAGGGGAUCGAAGACGAUCAGAUACCGUCGUAGUCUUAACCAUAAACUAUGCCGACUAGGGAUCGGAUGAUGUUAAUUUUUUAAUGACUCAUUCGGCGCCUUACG
Molecule: non-coding RNA, 499 nt
Filed under: uncultured Glomus
Lineage: Eukaryota; Fungi; Glomeromycota; Glomeromycetes; Glomerales; Glomeraceae
Also listed under: 1 other name
Description: SSU rRNA
Rfam family: Eukaryotic small subunit ribosomal RNA
Source: RNAcentral